UACAGAGGGGGCAAGCGUUGUUCGGAAUUACUGGGCGUAAAGGGCGCGUAGGCGGCCUGUUAAGUCGAACGUGAAAUCCCCGGGCUCAACCCGGGAACUGCGUCCGAUACUGGCAGGCUUGAAUCCGGGAGAGGGAUGCGGAAUUCCAGGUGUAGCGGUGAAAUGCGCAGAUAUCAGGAAGAACACCAACGGCGAAGGCAGCUCGCUGGGACGGAACUGACGCUAAGGCGCGAAAGCGUGGGGAGCGAACAGG
Molecule: ribosomal RNA, 253 nt
Filed under: uncultured bacterium
Lineage: Bacteria
Description: partial 16S ribosomal RNA
Rfam family: Bacterial small subunit ribosomal RNA
Source: RNAcentral